AACAUUCAACGCUGUCGGUGAGUUUGUGACUCAGAGAAACCAUCGGGCGGAGAGUGUACC
RNAcentral lists this microRNA precursor (60 nucleotides) under Gadus morhua (Atlantic cod). RNAcentral's name for it is "Gmo-Mir-181-P1c2_pre stem-loop". The record is from RNAcentral. Lineage: Eukaryota; Metazoa; Chordata; Actinopteri; Gadiformes; Gadidae.